Molecule: long non-coding RNA, 1170 nt
Organism: Bos taurus (domestic cattle)
Lineage: Eukaryota; Metazoa; Chordata; Mammalia; Artiodactyla; Bovidae
Source: Ensembl
AAAUAAAGUAAAAUAAUAAAAUAAAAUAUUGUAUGGUAAGCCAUUCAAGGUGUCUGCCCAGGCAGGAGAAUCUAUAAAUGCUAAAAAACCUAGCAGUUGCCAGUUAAAAGUUUGAACACUACACUCAGCUCUGUUCAUGGAUCCCUGGAAAGGACAGGCUUGGAGUGGUGGUGAGGGUGUAGGUUGAAAGUUCAAAGGCUACUGAGGUUACAGUGAGUAGCAAAGCAGAGUACCUCCACUUCAAUUACAAAGUUCAAGAAGGCAAGAAACCCCCUGAAGACGGAAUUGAAACAGCAGAUGCCUCAGAGCUCUGACUGCUGACAAUGCUGAAAACAUGAAGAGACUCCGUUUUCUGUCUGGAUUGUUAUGGAGCAGACACUCUCGGUUUAUACCCUCCAGGGGAGAUGGAGAGAUGCUUUCUGUAAAUAAGAAUGAGUGACUUGAAGGUGAUCUGUUUAAAUAGUCAGCUUGGGUUGUCCUUACCUCUCAGGAAAACAAGCAGCCCCAUACAGCUGAAUGUCUUUUGGUGUUAUUAAGGAGAAUGACACCAGGGCUGUGAAGUUAGUCACUGACUUUACAUCUAUAUGUACCUGUUUUAUCUUGUUUUGCAAAUACUGUUUGGCUUCUUGUUUGUUGUUUGUUUUUUAAUAAAUCGAAGAUCUGUGGCAACCCUGCAUCAAGCCAGUAAUUUUUCUAGCAGCAUUUGCUUCCUUCCUGACUUUGUCACAUUUUGGUAAUUCUUGCACUAUUUCAAACCUUUUCAUUAUUUGUUAUGGUGAGCUGUGAUGUUACUAUUGUAACACCUAUCCACUGAUGUUACUACUAUAAUUGUUUGGGGGCACCACAAACUGUACCCAUGUCAGAUGACAAACUUAAUCAAUAAAUAUUUGUGUUCUGACUGCUCCACCAACAAGCCUUUCUCCAUCUCUCUCCCUUUACUAGGGCCUUCCUAUUCCCUGAGGCACAAUAAUACUGAGAUCAGGCCAAUUGUAACCCUUUAAUGGCAUCCAGGUGUUCAAGUGAAAGUCACACAUCUCUCACUUUAAGUCAAAAACUAAAAAUGAUUAAGUUUAAUGAUUAAGCUUAGUGAGGAAGGCAUGUCAAAUGCUGAGACAGGUCAAAAGCUGGGCCUCUUGCACCAAACAGUUAACCAAAUUGUAAAUGCAAAGG